This 778-nucleotide long non-coding RNA is filed under the name Androctonus crassicauda. Lineage: Eukaryota; Metazoa; Arthropoda; Arachnida; Scorpiones; Buthidae. The record is from RNAcentral.
GUGGCUUUCUUAUGUCGACAUUUUGAUUGGAUGGGUUUUGCUUUAUUCUCUCUCUUACAUAUUGCCAUCUAUAUUUAUGUUUUGCGCUUUCUUGUUCAUCUAUAUUUUUAAGGAGAUCUAUUUUUUUUUAUCAUCUAUUUUUUUUUCCUCAAUGAUGGGUACUUCAUCUAGUGGUGUUGUUCUCUGUGAGAUGGCACAGGCCAGGCCUUUUUGUAAGAGGUCUUUUACAAAUUGUGGGAGCUGUAUGUUUCCUAUAACUGCAAUUACGUUGUUUAAUUCAAGUUUGGUAGUUCUUCUGGACACGUUUUGUUUUUUGAACACCCAUUUAAGCUUUUUGAUAUGUCAUUCACGCAACUUACGUCCUUUAUAAUUGGCUUCUCUUUCUAGAAAUUCAAUAAGAUGCACUGAGGUAGAUAUAGUAAGCAAGAUGCUUUUUAUUUCCUUUUCUUUUUUCAUUAGAGUGUGGAAUCUUCUUUUUGCGUCCUGGGUGGCGGCUAUCAGGAAAAUUCUUUUCGUGUUUUGUAGUACUUUCUUUGAUUUUACAGGUAAUGUUAUGUUGUGAAUUGAAGUCAGAUACACUAUUUAGUUUGCAUUGUUUUAGGAAUGUCCACGUUUCAAAGGCUUUAGUCCAUUUAAGGAGUAUUUUCGAGUAUUUCCUGAUCAGCUGGUUCUGCUGUUGGUUCUCCAUUAAGAAAAAUAAGAUUUAUACUGCAUAUUCACGAAAUACGUUGAUAAACUGUAGUAUAACAGACAAAAAUACUCAAUGCAGUUGUGGGAG